This 54-nucleotide transfer RNA is filed under the name Trichuris discolor. RNAcentral's name for it is "tRNA-Gln". Lineage: Eukaryota; Metazoa; Nematoda; Enoplea; Trichinellida; Trichuridae. The record is from RNAcentral.
UGUCCUAGUAUAGUUCUUGUACUUAGGUUUUUGAAGCCUGCAGAAUAAACACAU